Molecule: small nuclear RNA, 92 nt
Organism: Rattus norvegicus (Norway rat)
Lineage: Eukaryota; Metazoa; Chordata; Mammalia; Rodentia; Muridae
Source: Ensembl
AUGCUCACACCAGCAGCAUAUAUAGUAAGAAAAGAUUAGCAUGGGCCCUGUGCAAGAAUGGCAUAAAAAUUCAUGAAGCAUUGUAUAAUUUC